Molecule: ribosomal RNA, 341 nt
Filed under: uncultured bacterium
Lineage: Bacteria
Description: partial 16S ribosomal RNA
Rfam family: Bacterial small subunit ribosomal RNA
Source: RNAcentral
CCUACGGGUGACAGCAGUGGGGAAUAUUGGGCAAUGGGCGCAAGCCUGACCCAGCAACGCCGCGUGAAGGAAGAAGGCUUUCGGGUUGUAAACUUCUUUUCUCAGGGACGAAGAAAGUGACGGUACCUGAGGAAUAAGCCACAGCUUACUACGUGCCAGCCGCCGCGGUAAUACGUAGGUGGCAAGCGUUCUCCGGAUUUAUUGGGUGUAAAGGGCGUGUAGGCGGGAGAGCAAGUCAGAAGUGAAAACUCAGGGCUCAACCCUGAGCCUGUAUUUGAAACUGGGUUUCUUGAGUGCUGGGGAGGCAAUCGGAAUUCCGGAUGUAGCGGUGAAAUGCGUAG